CGCUGGCGGCGUGCCUACACAUGCAAGUCGAACGGGGUUUACUGGUUAGCUUGCUAACCGGGACGACCUAGUGGCGGACGGGUGAGUAACACGUGGGUAACCUGCCCAAAAGACCGGGAUAACAGUUCGAAAGGGCUGCUAAUACCGGAUACCCUGGUUAAAAGGCAUCUUCUAACCAGGAAAGAUUUUAUCGCUUUUGGAUGGGCCCGCGUCCCAUUAGCUAGUUGGUGGAGUAACGGUUCACCAAGGCGACGAUGGGUAGCCGGCCUGAGAGGGUGUACGGCCACACUGGGACUGAGACACGGCCCAGACUCCUACGGGAGGCAGCAGUGGGGAAUAUUGCGCAAUGGGGGCAACCCUGNACGCAGCGACGCCGCGUGAGCGAAGAANGCUUUCGAGUCGUAAAGCUCUGUCAAGGGGGAAGAAUACAUUGACGGUAACCCCUGGAAGAAACCCCCGGCUAAACUNACGUGGCCANCAAGCCNGCGGUUUAAAAACCGUUAAAGGGGGGGCCGAAGNNGUUUUUUUCCCNGGGAAAAUUNACNUGGGGGGNCGUUAAAAAAGGGGCNGUUUNUAAAGGCCCGGGNUUUAAGGGUUNAAAAGUUCCC
RNAcentral lists this ribosomal RNA (608 nucleotides) under uncultured bacterium. RNAcentral describes it as "partial 16S ribosomal RNA". The stretch from base 2 to 513 matches the Rfam family "Bacterial small subunit ribosomal RNA", at positions 35 to 539 of the family's 1533-position model. The record is from RNAcentral.